GACCCAGCAUGAUGUAGUGGUUUGAGUGUUGGACUAUAACUCUAGAGACCAGGGUUCAAAUCCCAGCUCGGCUA
RNAcentral lists this transfer RNA (74 nucleotides) under Phrynosoma platyrhinos (Desert horned lizard). RNAcentral describes it as "tRNA-OTHER". The record is from RNAcentral. Lineage: Eukaryota; Metazoa; Chordata; Lepidosauria; Squamata; Phrynosomatidae.